Molecule: small nucleolar RNA, 131 nt
Filed under: Castor canadensis (American beaver)
Lineage: Eukaryota; Metazoa; Chordata; Mammalia; Rodentia; Castoridae
Description: Small nucleolar RNA SNORA33 (ENSCCNG00000031226.1)
Rfam family: Small nucleolar RNA SNORA33
About the family: ACA33 is a member of the H/ACA class of snoRNA that guide the sites of modification of uridines to pseudouridines.
Source: Rfam by way of RNAcentral
AAGUCAACCAGUGAAUCUGCUUAUCUGAAUGUGUUUCUGCAGAAAUUUAGACAAAGCUGGCAAUAGUAAUGCCAUGGUAGGAGCCUUGAGGACAAUCAAAGUCAUUAAGGUCCCUGAAAAUGGCUACAACA